ACGAACGCUGGCGGCGUGCUUCACACAUGCAAGUCGAACGGAAAGGCCCCCUUGGGGGUACUCGAGUGGCGAACGGGUGAGUAACACGUGAGUAACCUGCCCUUGACUUCGGGAUAACUUCAGGAAACUGGGGCUAAUACCGGAUAGGAAUCCUUGCUGCAUGGUGGGGGGUGGAAAGCUUCGGCGGUUUUGGAUGGACUCGCGGCUUAUCAGCUUGUUGGUGGGGUAGUGGCUUACCAAGGCUUUGACGGGUAGCCGGCCUGAGAGGGCGACCGGCCACAUUGGGACUGAGAGACGGCCCAGACUCCUACGGGAGGCAGCAGUGGGGAAUAUUGCACAAUGGGCGGAAGCCUGAUGCAGCAACGCCGCGUGCGGGAUGACGGCCUUCGGGUUGUAAACCGCUUUCAGCAGGGGCGAAGCUUGUGGUGACGGUACCUGCAGAAGAAGCACCGGCUAACUACGUG
This 464-nucleotide ribosomal RNA is filed under the name uncultured bacterium. RNAcentral describes it as "partial 16S ribosomal RNA". It matches the Rfam family "Bacterial small subunit ribosomal RNA", at positions 29 to 507 of the family's 1533-position model. The record is from RNAcentral.